Molecule: ribosomal RNA, 449 nt
Filed under: uncultured bacterium
Lineage: Bacteria
Description: partial 16S ribosomal RNA
Rfam family: Bacterial small subunit ribosomal RNA
Source: RNAcentral
AACGAACGCUGGCGGCAUGCCUAAUACAUGCAAGUCGAACGAGAUCUUCGGGUCUAGUGGCUCACGGGUGCGUAACGCGUGGGAAUCUGCCCUUUGGUUCGGAAUAACAGUUGGAAACGACUGCUAAUACCGGAUGAUGACGAAAGUCCAAAGAUUUAUCGCCAGGGGAUGAGCCCGCGUAGGAUUAGCUAGUUGGUGUGGUAAAGGCGCACCAAGGCGACGAUCCUUAGCUGGUCUGGGAGGAUGAUCAGCCACACUGGGACUGAGACACGUCCCAGACUCCGAGGGGAGGCGGCAGUGGGGAAUAUUGAACAAUGGGCGAAAGCCUGAUCCAGCAAUUCCGCGUGAGUGAUUAAGGCCUUAGGGUUGUAAAGCUCUUUUACCCGGGAUGAUAAUGACAGUACCGGUAGAAUAAGCUCCGGCUAACUCCGUGCCAGCCGCCGCGGUAA